GCAUAAGAAUUCAAACAACAGGUAGAGUUCUAUAGUCUAGCCAUGGCUUUCAGCCGACUAGACACAAACAGUAAUGCUAGUAGUAGUAAAGAGAAGAGAGAUCUUUGAGUAUGCAUGUGUUUUUGAACUCAAUUGUUCGUGUGCUUAAAGAAGAAGAGUACGGUAUUUAUAGUUUGAAAGCAGGUAGGGAAUAAGGAAAGGAAAUAAGUUAAGG
Molecule: long non-coding RNA, 214 nt
Filed under: Nicotiana benthamiana
Lineage: Eukaryota; Viridiplantae; Streptophyta; Magnoliopsida; Solanales; Solanaceae
Description: long non-coding RNA (NBEN_LNC040326)
Source: RNAcentral